UAAAAUCCGUAGAGAUCGGAAGGAAUACCAAUGGCGAAGGCAAUCUACUGGUACAUUACUGACGCUGAGGCACGAAAGCGUGGGGAGCAAACAGGAUUAGAUACCCUGGUAGUCCACGCCCUAAACGAUGAACACUAGUUGUCGGAAUCCUUGAGGUUUCGGUAAUGCAGCUAACGCAAUAAGUGUUCCGCCUGGGGAGUACGGUCGCAAGAUUAAAACUCAAAGGAAUAGACGGGGACCCGCACAAGUGGUGGAGCAUGUGGUUUAAUUCGAAAAUACGCGAAGAACCUUACCUGGACUUGACAUCCUAAAGAUAUUUAAGAGAUUAGAUAGUGCCUUUUCGGAGGAAUUUAGUGACAGGUGCUGCACGGCUGUCGUCAGCUCGUGUCGUGAGAUGUUGGGUUAAGUCCCGCAACGAGCGCAACCCUCGUCGUUAGUUGCCAGCAAUUCGGUUGGGCACUCUAACGAGAUUGCCUUCGCAAGGAGGAGGAAGGUGAGGACGACGUCAAGUCAUCAUGGCCCUUAUGUCCAGGGCGACACACGUGCUACAAUGGAAGGGACAAUGUGUUGCGAUACCGCGAGGUGGAGCUAAUCACCAAACCCUUUCUCAGUUCGGAUUGGAGUCUGCAACUCGACUCCAUGAAGUUGGAAUCACUAGUAAUCGUAGAUCAGCCACGCUACGGUGAAUACGUUCCCGGGUCUUGUACUCACCGCCCGUCACACCAUGGGAAUUGGUUUCACCCGAAGAGGGGAUGCUAACCUGCAAAGGAGGCUACUCUCCACGGUGGGGUCAGUAACUGGGGUGAAGUCGUAACAAGGUAGCC
RNAcentral lists this ribosomal RNA (824 nucleotides) under uncultured Campylobacterota bacterium. RNAcentral describes it as "bacterial SSU rRNA". It matches the Rfam family "Bacterial small subunit ribosomal RNA", at positions 682 to 1501 of the family's 1533-position model. Lineage: Bacteria; Pseudomonadati; Campylobacterota. The record is from RNAcentral.